RNAcentral lists this long non-coding RNA (215 nucleotides) under Capsicum annuum. RNAcentral's name for it is "long non-coding RNA (CANN_LNC012181)". The record is from RNAcentral. Lineage: Eukaryota; Viridiplantae; Streptophyta; Magnoliopsida; Solanales; Solanaceae.
CCAAGAAGAUGUCGUCGUUGCCAUCAGUCUCAAGCUCAAGUUCAUACCCAAGCUCUCCAUAAUCACUCCCAAAAUCCAUUAUACUCUGUUUCCCCACCUCCAUAUCUAGUAUAUUGCGCACAACCAUAUGUUCAACUCCUUGCUUACCCAUAAUGGCGUGCACCAACUCCUCAAAGUCAUUCUCCAAUUCCACAAACAUACCAAAGCCCUUCUAG